Molecule: ribosomal RNA, 460 nt
Filed under: uncultured bacterium
Lineage: Bacteria
Description: partial 16S ribosomal RNA
Rfam family: Bacterial small subunit ribosomal RNA
Source: RNAcentral
CCUACGGGAGGCAGCAGUGAGGAAUAUUGGUCAAUGGACGAGAGUCUGAACCAGCCAAGUAUCGUGAAGGAUGACUGCCCUAUGGGUUGUAAACUGCUUUUAUAUGGGAAUAAAAUGUUACAAGUGGGGGAUUUUUUAUGUACCAUAUGAAUAAAGAUCGGCUAACUCCGUGCCAGCAGCCGCGGUAAUACGGAGGAUCCGAGCGUGAUCCGGAUUUAUUGGGUUUAAAGGGAGCGUAGGUGGAUUGUUAAGGCAGUUGUGAAAGUUUGCGGCUCAACCGUAACAUUGCAGUUGAAACUGGCAGUCUUGAGUACAGUAGAGGUGGGCGGAAUUCAUGGUGUAGCGGUGAAAUGCUUAGAUAUCACGAAGAACUCCGAUUGCGAAGGCAGUUCACUGGACUGCAACUGACACUGAGGCUCGAAAGUGUGGGUAUCAAACAGGAUUAGAUACCCUAGUAGUC